AGUGAACGCUGGCGGUAGGCCUAACACAUGCCAGUCGAACGGCAGCACAGUAAGAGCUUGCUCUUACGGGUGGCGAGUGGCGGACGGGUGAGGAAUACAUCGGAAUCUACUUUUUCGUGGGGGAUAACGUAGGGAAACUUACGCUAAUACCGCAUACGACCUACGGGUGAAAGCAGGGGAUCUUCGGACCUUGCGCGAUUGAAUGAGCCGAUGUCGGAUUAGCUAGUUGGCGGGGUAAAGGCCCACCAAGGCGACGAUCCGUAGCUGGUCUGAGAGGAUGAUCAGCCACACUGGAACUGAGACACGGUCCAGACUCCUACGGGACGCAGCAGUGGGGAAUAUUGGACAAUGGGCGCAAGCCUGAUCCAGCCAUACCGCGUGGGUGAAGAAGGCCUUCGGGUUGUAAAGCCCUUUUGUUGGGAAAGAAAAGCAGCAGGUUAAUACCCCGCUGUUCUGACGGUACCCAAAGAAUAAGCACCGGCUAACUUCGUG
RNAcentral lists this ribosomal RNA (492 nucleotides) under uncultured bacterium. RNAcentral's name for it is "partial 16S ribosomal RNA". It matches the Rfam family "Bacterial small subunit ribosomal RNA", at positions 29 to 507 of the family's 1533-position model. The record is from RNAcentral.